RNAcentral lists this transfer RNA (72 nucleotides) under Bos taurus (domestic cattle). It matches the Rfam family "tRNA". From Rfam's summary of the family: Transfer RNA (tRNA) molecules are approximately 80 nucleotides in length. RNAcentral also lists the same sequence under 4 other names. Lineage: Eukaryota; Metazoa; Chordata; Mammalia; Artiodactyla; Bovidae. The record is from Rfam by way of RNAcentral.
UCCCUGGUAGCUCAGAUGGUAAAGAAUCUACCUGCAAUGCAGGAGACCUGGGUUUGAUCCCUGGCUUGGGAA